RNAcentral lists this transfer RNA (77 nucleotides) under Methylotenera sp. Its description in RNAcentral is "tRNA-Pro". It matches the Rfam family "tRNA". From Rfam's summary of the family: Transfer RNA (tRNA) molecules are approximately 80 nucleotides in length. Their secondary structure includes four short double-helical elements and three loops (D, anti-codon, and T loops). Further hydrogen bonds mediate the characteristic L-shaped molecular structure. tRNAs have two regions of fundamental functional importance: the anti-codon, which is responsible for specific mRNA codon recognition, and the 3' end, to which the tRNAs corresponding amino acid is attached (by aminoacyl-tRNA synthetases). tRNAs cope with the degeneracy of the genetic code in two manners: having more than one tRNA (with a specific anti-codon) for a particular amino acid; and 'wobble' base-pairing, i.e. permitting non-standard base-pairing at the 3rd anti-codon position. Lineage: Bacteria; Pseudomonadati; Pseudomonadota; Betaproteobacteria; Nitrosomonadales; Methylophilaceae. The record is from RNAcentral.
CGGCGUGUAGCGUAGCCUGGUCGCGCGCCUGCUUUGGGAGCAGGAUGUCGGGAGUUCGAAUCUCUCCACGCCGACCA